CAUUGUUAUCAGUAGGCAACAUAUGACAUGCGCUGUACGCCCAGCUAUGGUUACACCCCCCCUCCUCAACCUUCUGUUCUGAAGCUACUGCACAGGGGCUCUGAGUCAUCUGUCAAAAUGCAUGUGCUGCUUCUGAAAGAACCAAGAGAGGGAGGUUCUGGACCAGAUCCUUACAUCAAGGCGCUGGCAUCACAUGGACACAAAGCAACCUUAAUUCCUGUGCUGUCAUUUACAUUUGUAUCCUUGAACACAUUGUCAGACAAGCUGUUUCAGCCAGAACAACAUGGUGGGAUGGUUUUUACCAGUCCGAGGGCGGUGGAGGCAGUCAGGAUGUGUCUGGAAGAUGAUGAAAGAAGGGAAGAGUGGAACCGUGACAUGAAAGACAAAUGGAAUGCCAAGUCCAUCUAUGUUGUUGGGAAGGCUACUGCAGCGGCAGUGGAAAACCUAGGUUGGUCCCUCUGGGAGAGGACACUGGGACUGCAGAUGUUCUCUCAAGCCUUAUCAUUGAACGAGAGGACACCAAUAUAUUACCACUUCUCUUCCCCUGUGGUUCCAUUAAAAGAGAAGUUUUGCCUACUGCUUUGAGGGAAAAUGGAGUGCCUCUGGAGACACUAAUGGUAUAUCAGACAGCUCAACAUCCAGACCUGGAGAAGAACCUGAAGAACCAUUUUACAGAGCAGGGUGUUCCAGCCAGCAUUGCUUUCUUCAGCCCAUCGGGAGUCAAGUUCUGCCUGGAAACUGUGAGAAGACUGUCAGGUGAACAACUUAACCAGAUAAAGUUUGCAGCCAUAGGACCCACCACAGCAGACGCCAUGACAGCAGAGGGGCUAUCGGUCAGCUGCUCAGCAGACAGACCUACAGCUGAGCACCUGGCCACAGGGAUAGCGAAGGCUCUACAGUGACAGACAAGACAGACCACCAACCAACCUGGAAACUUGAUCCGUCCCCGUCACUUUCUCAUUCAGCCUCUGUGAAACGGAUUGUGGUAUUGCGUUCUUUGUGAUCGCUUUAUCUCUUUGAAGUAUUUGCUAUUAUUUGUGGGGCUUUUUAUGUCACGUUUUGAUCCCGGUAACCAUCUGUAUAUUUAUUAUAUUGUAAUAUGUUGUUAUGCACUGUGAGAUAUUGUAAGGCCUAUUUGUUGACACUGAAUGUAUCAAAUCAUGCUCUUAUACACGUGUGACAAGUAUUGUAUUGUGCCACAAUUACAUACUUUGAGAAUUGAGCAUGAGGAAUUUAAUUAUUGAAAAUAAAUUGUGAACAAUUA
This is an RNA transcript of Coregonus clupeaformis (lake whitefish), 1264 nucleotides long. It is a transcript of the gene named uroporphyrinogen-III synthase-like, with no coding region annotated. The transcript is spliced from 10 exons. The record is from RefSeq and is a predicted model, not a curated record. Lineage: Eukaryota; Metazoa; Chordata; Actinopteri; Salmoniformes; Salmonidae.